This 424-nucleotide long non-coding RNA is filed under the name Heterocephalus glaber (naked mole-rat). RNAcentral describes it as "lncRNA (ENSHGLG00000049447.1)". Lineage: Eukaryota; Metazoa; Chordata; Mammalia; Rodentia; Bathyergidae. The record is from RNAcentral.
GCACUUUUUCCGCACUCCGGCACCCUCCCGCCUGUAGAUUUGGGCCUUUUCUCACACCAGGGACUGGCAGAGCGCGCAGGCGCGGUGCACACAAGGCCGUGGAGCAGACGUUAGUAAAUUUGGCCAUUGCUUUUUGCUCAUUUUGUUCAAGUCUUUGUUUGAGACAAGAAGAACCUGGAAUCUAACUCCAGACGGAGAGGCAAGCAACCCAGAACCCAGUAACAUUUAGUUGGCGAGCCACUUUUAGAAGCAAGCUACCGGAUAACAGGUUUGCUGACUCCCGUCACGGAAAAAGAACUUUCAGGACUUAAUUCAUUCUUUGGUUUUGGAGAACUUGAACUUGGCGUAUGAGACAUCUAACAGGCAGGCAGAGGAACCACUGAGCUAAAUCCCCAGCCCUGCAAGUAAAAGUUAAUGAGCAGAC